Molecule: transfer RNA, 73 nt
Filed under: Diphylla ecaudata (Hairy-legged vampire bat)
Lineage: Eukaryota; Metazoa; Chordata; Mammalia; Chiroptera; Phyllostomidae
Description: tRNA-Gln
Rfam family: tRNA
About the family: Transfer RNA (tRNA) molecules are approximately 80 nucleotides in length. Their secondary structure includes four short double-helical elements and three loops (D, anti-codon, and T loops). Further hydrogen bonds mediate the characteristic L-shaped molecular structure. tRNAs have two regions of fundamental functional importance: the anti-codon, which is responsible for specific mRNA codon recognition, and the 3' end, to which the tRNAs corresponding amino acid is attached (by aminoacyl-tRNA synthetases). tRNAs cope with the degeneracy of the genetic code in two manners: having more than one tRNA (with a specific anti-codon) for a particular amino acid; and 'wobble' base-pairing, i.e. permitting non-standard base-pairing at the 3rd anti-codon position.
Source: RNAcentral
UAGGAUUUAGUGUGAUCUGGUAGCACGAAGAUUUUUGGGUUCUUAAGGUUAGGUUCGAUUCCUAUAGUCCUAG